Molecule: long non-coding RNA, 332 nt
Organism: Carcharodon carcharias (great white shark)
Lineage: Eukaryota; Metazoa; Chordata; Chondrichthyes; Lamniformes; Lamnidae
Exons: 3
Source: RefSeq, a predicted model, not a curated record
CUUUUGGACCGCGAGACCCUCCUGAAGCCCGACCCCUGCUGCAUCGUCAAGUGUUUGACCAACGGCGAGUGGGUAGAGCUCGACCGGACAGAGGUAAUAAAGAGUCACCUGAACCCCGUCUUUUCCAAGAUCUUCUGGGUGGAUUAUUACUUUGAGGAGAUGCAGCCCCUUCUGUUUGAGGUUUAUGACAGACCAAGUGAGGGAAUGACGCAGGCCAGUGAGGACGAUCUGCUGGGGGCUGCUGAGUGUACAUUGGGCCAGAUUGUCUCACAAACAAAAGUAACAAAGCCUCUGAUGCUGACAACAGGAAAAACUGCUGGAAAAUCAACAAU